RNA transcript from Quercus robur (English oak), 1240 nucleotides. It is a transcript of the gene named probable 1-deoxy-D-xylulose-5-phosphate synthase 2, chloroplastic, with no coding region annotated. The record is from RefSeq and is a predicted model, not a curated record. The transcript is spliced from 5 exons. Lineage: Eukaryota; Viridiplantae; Streptophyta; Magnoliopsida; Fagales; Fagaceae.
UAGGGUUUUUUCUAACACUUGAGGAAGGGUGCUCUGGUCUAUCCUUAGUUCUGAAUGGAAAAUUUUGUUUUGUUAACUGGCUGAACUGAAUAUUGUUGGAUCUGCUGAGCUAUCAAUGUGACAGAUGAUUAAGCAUAACCGCUUGAUGGAAUUUGGAGGGAUGGGGGACACAUGGCUUAUGCUAAUUGGUAUUCUUGAGAUUGGUUGAAUCGAUAAUUUCUUUUAUGGUUCAUAUUCUGGAUUGGGUUCAUUGCAACUGCUUCCACCUGUCACUAUCAUUAGUCAUCUUGGUCAACAGUUAAGAUUCCCCUGAUCUUCUCGAAUAACCGCUCCUACUCUGGCUAUGUUCCUAUUUCUGAGGAGAACCUCUUCAAAGUUUACUUUAUACUAGCUACUUGGUGGUGGUUCUUUCCACUUGAUGAUCCUUCUAGUACCUGCUGCUUCCUUGUUUUCUAAGUUUUGCAGAUGAUUAUGAGGCUGGUAUGGUUGCUGCAGAUGGAGCCACCGAUUGUGGAGCACUUGCUAUUACUUUACACUGCUUGCUUGCCUAACAUGGUGGUCAUGGCUCCAUUUGAUGAAGCUGAACUGAUGCACAUGGUUGCCACAGCGUCAGUCGUAGAUGACAGACAGACCCAGCUGCUUCAGGUGUCCAAGGGCAAUGGUAUUGGAGCAGCUCUUCCUUUUAAUAACAAGGGAACACCUCCUGAGAUCUCAACAAGCAAUUAGCCAAUGAGCAUGAAAUCCUAAUUACAAUGGAAGAGGGUUCAAUUGGAGGUUAUGGAUCUCAUUUAUUGCACUACCUAAGCUUAACUGGUAUUUUGGAUGGACCCCUUGAGUUGAGAGCAAUGGUGCUUCCUCACAAGAUCAUAUUUGAGGAAGCUCGGCUCUCCGCAAGACAUAUUUCAGCAACAAUCUUAUCUCUCUUAGGAAGGCCAAAAGAAGCUCUUCAGUUCAAGUGAGCACACGCAUGGAAUGAAGUUCCUGUGAAGGAAUUGUUUUAGGUUUCUAGGAGCUUGUGAAAUUCCAACUCAGAAUGCUCGUUAAGGGGUACUUAUAUUUAGUGGUUAAUAAUCUUCAAAUGCCCAUAAUCUUAAAGCAUAUGUUCACAAGUUUCAAGUUCAAAGAUGAAUCAAUGAGGGCAUGAUGCAUAUUAACUAAAAUUGUUGUAAUGAAGAUCGCAUUAAACAUGAAAUUAUACAACGGACCAAGCAAAGAAAUAUUAGUCUUUUACUUGACAAUU